Limulus polyphemus (Atlantic horseshoe crab) is the source of this 544-nucleotide long non-coding RNA. RefSeq lists it as uncharacterized. The transcript has 2 exons. Lineage: Eukaryota; Metazoa; Arthropoda; Merostomata; Xiphosura; Limulidae. The record is from RefSeq and is a predicted model, not a curated record.
UCACUAAGUUGUUUUCUGUGUUCUACCUCUUGUGGUAUAGCUGAACAGGAGUUUGUACUAAUCCUUCAGUAUUAUAACAAACUUGAACAGAAAUCUGAUUCUUGGAUAAAUUUUGAAGCAAAUUAUCAGUGGUGGUCGAUUAUAAUGUCUAACAAAACGAUUCGCCAUUUUAAACAGAUUUUGCAAGCUUCACAGUAUUAGGACAACUAGCAGAAAUAUCCGCCCUCCGAGCAGGUGUAACUGCUAGUUCCUGCGGAAGGCUAUUGGGCCAGCGGCCCAAAGUCAGGCCUACGGCCUUUUCUGGAAUUGUCUGACAGUUCUACAACAAUGUACUCAUACUUAACAUUCAACAAUGUUCAUCUUCCAUGAGAAAAAGGAUUUUAUUGAAAUUUUAGUUUAAAAAUGAGCUAUCAUCACAACAUUACAUCACAAAGUAGAUUUUAUUAAAGUAUUUCUUUGCAGACGCAAUUAUCAAUGAAACUGCCUGUUUUCUGUUGCAACACUCAGGAGAUUUUCACUAAAUAAAGACAAAUAAUUUUUUUAA